AAGGCCUUAGCUUAAAUAAAAGCGGCUGAGUUGCAAUCAGGAGAUGUAAUUGGUUUUACAGGUCUUC
This 67-nucleotide transfer RNA is filed under the name Stenodactylus doriae. RNAcentral's name for it is "tRNA-Ala". It matches the Rfam family "tRNA". From Rfam's summary of the family: Transfer RNA (tRNA) molecules are approximately 80 nucleotides in length. The record is from RNAcentral. Lineage: Eukaryota; Metazoa; Chordata; Lepidosauria; Squamata; Gekkonidae.